GACGAACCGUGCGAACGUUAUUCGGAAUCACUGGGCUUAAAGGGCGCGUAGGCGGAUUCACAAGUCUGUGGUGAAAUCCUCCAGCUUAACUGGAGAAGUGCCGUGGAUACUGUGAGUCUCGAGGAGGGUAGGGGCAUCUGGAACUGCCGGUGGAGCGGUGAAAUGCGUUGAUAUCGGCAGGAACUCCGGUGGCGAAGGCGCGAUGCUGGAUCCUUUCUGACGCUGAGGCGCGAAAGCCAGGGGAGCAAACGGG
RNAcentral lists this ribosomal RNA (253 nucleotides) under uncultured bacterium. RNAcentral describes it as "partial 16S ribosomal RNA". It matches the Rfam family "Bacterial small subunit ribosomal RNA", at positions 524 to 776 of the family's 1533-position model. The record is from RNAcentral.